Molecule: transfer RNA, 71 nt
Filed under: Marmota monax (woodchuck)
Lineage: Eukaryota; Metazoa; Chordata; Mammalia; Rodentia; Sciuridae
Description: tRNA.Ala
Source: RNAcentral
GGGGUUGUGGCUUAGUGGCAGAGCACUCGCCUAGCACAUGUGAGGCACUGGGUUUGAUCCUCUGCACCCCA